GGGCAGGUGGAGGUCGUUAGCGUGAGCAGUUCACCUAGGAGAGCAAACUCCGAUUACAAAACCGGGCAGGUGGAGGUCGUUAGCGUGAGCAGUUCACCUAGGAGAGCAAACUCCGAUUACAAACCCGGGCAGGUGGAGGUCGUUAGCGAAAGCAGUUCACCUAGGAGAGCAAACUCCGAUUACAAACCCGGGCAGGUGAGGUUCGUUAGCCGUGGUAGGCAAUUCACCUAGGAGAGCAAACUCCGAACAAUAAACCCGGGCAGGUUGGGCUCGUGAGCCGUCAUAGGUAAUACACCUAGGAGAGCAAACUCCGAACAAUAAACCCGGGCAGGUGGAGCUCGUCAGCCGUGGUAGGCAGUCUGCCUAGGAGAGCAAACUCCGAACAAUAAACCGGGGCUUGUGGUGCUCGUUAGAUGUCGUAGACAAUCCACGUGAUGGGAACACCAAAGAAAAGGAAAAUAAAAAGGAACACCAGAAAAAGGAAAAUAUAGUAACAAAACAUCAAGAAAAUAAAAUAAAAAACACAGAUCAUCCACCUUCAGGCCCUAACAUCUCCAAAAUUAUGGGUGAGUCUUUUCUGGGGAGAAAGAGGCUCAUCCAGACCAAAGAACAUCAAAAAGGGAUGAUAUAGAAAGGAACACCAAAAAAAUGUGAAAAAGAGAAAAAAACAUCGCAAAAGAAAAGUAACAACAAUAACAGAACAACGUCAAGAAAAGUAACAUACAAAGAAACAUCAUCCACCAUUCGGCCCCAAACUAACAUCACCAAAAUUAUGGAUGGGUCUCUUCUGGGGAGAAAGAGGCUCACCCAGACCAAAGAACAUCAAAGAGGGAUGAUAUAGAAAAGAACACCAAAAAAUAAGGGAAAAAAGAGCAAAAAAACAUCGCAAAAGAAAAGUAACAGCAAUAACAGAACAACAUCAAAAAAGUAACAUACAAAGAAACAUCAUCCACCAUUCGGCCCCAAACUAACAUCACCAAAAUUAUGGGUGGGUCUCUUCUGGGAGGAAAGCGGCUCACCCAGACCAACGAAGAACACCAACAAGAGGAUGAUAUGAAAUAAAAGAACAUUAAAAAACACGAAGAAAAGAAAUAAGAAGAAAAAGAACAGAAAAAACAUCGGAAAAGAAAAACAAGAAGAAAAACACAUCAAGAGAAGAAAAAUAUAAGAAACAUCAUCCACCUUUCGGCCCCUAACUAACAU
Molecule: long non-coding RNA, 1203 nt
Organism: Eriocheir sinensis (Chinese mitten crab)
Lineage: Eukaryota; Metazoa; Arthropoda; Malacostraca; Decapoda; Varunidae
Exons: 3
Source: RefSeq, a predicted model, not a curated record